UAACUGGUGUUAAGUCACACCCCAUGUUUCACCACGAAACAGCACCUUGCUUUGUUUUCAUCACCCUCUCCUCUAGCUUUUGACGGAGUCCUCCCCCUACGCUGCUGCGGAGACGCCUGAGACUAAGAAGCAGAGAAAAAAUGUUUGAUCGCCUGCUUUCUGCACUGCCCAGCAGGGCCAGUGGAGAGACCUGUCGGGCCAGUCAAUACUGAGUAAAGGCCCCAUUUAGCAGGAACACGCCUGGCAGACGGGGCCUCCUGAGCUGGUGGAGAUGGGAGGAGGGGAUGCUCGCCUCUGACAGAGAUGGAUGGUGUGAGGCUCCACAGCCUGCAAGGACAAAGGGACACCCAGCCUUACUGGCCUCUUUCAUCCGCCCGCCAAGAGCCGGCGCUUUCACUCACGGGAUCCGGAGCACAGCGGCUGAAUAAUUCAUCAUGGGAGUUCCAGCAGAGACGAGUGCAGAGCUGUUCCUGUCCCGCAAACCUCCACCAGGGUCUGAUGGGAAAUGAAGUGCGGUGCAACACCACUCACUCUCUGUCACCUCUCACCUCACAGAGCAGAGGGGACAUUUUUAUUGAGAAAAGAUGCUUUUUUUAACACUAGAUACCCUCAGCUAACACAGCACAGUGACAGCUCAUCGAACUGUUCAAGAGAGCUUUCAUCAAACACAACUCUGUAAUGAAGCUGCUCCUCCAAACUUCUAGAAGAUCCGGAUUAUCCGUCGAAUGAGUUCUACGCUAAGUAUUUCUUUCUUUUUUUCAUUUCAUACUUUUAACUACACACUCUAAACCCUGACUUUUGCUGUAAUCACAAUUUUGAGUAAUAAUUCGUUAUAUUUUUUAGUUUAGUAUCAUUACUUAAAUAAAUUUGCUGUCUUUGAUGGAAA
Oryzias melastigma (Indian medaka) is the source of this 886-nucleotide long non-coding RNA. RefSeq lists it as uncharacterized. The record is from RefSeq and is a predicted model, not a curated record. Lineage: Eukaryota; Metazoa; Chordata; Actinopteri; Beloniformes; Adrianichthyidae. The transcript is spliced from 2 exons.